UACGUAGGGCGCAAGCGUUAUCCGGAAUUAUUGGGCGUAAAGAGCUCGUAGGCGGUUUGUCGCGUCUGCCGUGAAAGUCCGGGGCUCAACUCCGGAUCUGCGGUGGGUACGGGCAGACUAGAGUGAUGUAGGGGAGACUGGAAUUCCUGGUGUAGCGGUGAAAUGCGUAGAUAUCAGGAGGAACACCGGUGGCGAAGGCUGCUAUCUGGACAGAGUCUGACGCUGAGGCGCGAAAGCUAGGGGAGCAAACAGG
RNAcentral lists this ribosomal RNA (253 nucleotides) under uncultured bacterium. Its description in RNAcentral is "partial 16S ribosomal RNA". It matches the Rfam family "Bacterial small subunit ribosomal RNA", at positions 524 to 776 of the family's 1533-position model. The record is from RNAcentral.